RNAcentral lists this transfer RNA (69 nucleotides) under Myotis lucifugus (little brown bat). It matches the Rfam family "tRNA". From Rfam's summary of the family: Transfer RNA (tRNA) molecules are approximately 80 nucleotides in length. Their secondary structure includes four short double-helical elements and three loops (D, anti-codon, and T loops). Further hydrogen bonds mediate the characteristic L-shaped molecular structure. tRNAs have two regions of fundamental functional importance: the anti-codon, which is responsible for specific mRNA codon recognition, and the 3' end, to which the tRNAs corresponding amino acid is attached (by aminoacyl-tRNA synthetases). tRNAs cope with the degeneracy of the genetic code in two manners: having more than one tRNA (with a specific anti-codon) for a particular amino acid; and 'wobble' base-pairing, i.e. permitting non-standard base-pairing at the 3rd anti-codon position. Lineage: Eukaryota; Metazoa; Chordata; Mammalia; Chiroptera; Vespertilionidae. The record is from Rfam by way of RNAcentral.
GCUGGCAUAGCUCAGUGGUUGAGCAUCAACCUGUGAACUUGGUGGUUGCAGUUUGAUUCCCUGUCACCA